AAUCAUAUUUGCCUGUUUUGUGUCACGGUCUGAAUAAAUUUAUAUUGUUAAAAGUACAGAAAUUAUUCGUUGUAACCACGUGGACACCGCAAGCAGGGCUGUCAAAGGCGGGAUUUUCUUCACACAAUCUAGAUUCUCUACUACUUUAAUUUUAAUAGUGGAAUUUCAUUCAUUAUUUGUUUUUUUAAAUAGUGGAAUUUCAUUCAUUAUUUGUUUUUAGGACUAAAAAUAAUGCUCGAAUAUCAGAAUAGGUGGCAGAAAUUUGAUGCUGAUAGGGUGGAGUAAACCCUUGACUUGCUUGUAUUUAUGAUGGUCCGUCUCGUUGCCGUUGUUUCAAUUUCAUUUUUUUUUCAUACAUUUCAAUGUAAUUCUUGCAAACGAAUUUUCUCCAGGUAUAUAUUUAUUUAAACACUUUUUAUUUAUGAGUUUACUCGUAGUGAAGGAGUCUCUAGUGUUCAACAAACUCUCCGAGUUUGACUUCAACUGCCGUUUGGAACGUGUUCUUCAUGUUCAAUUAUGACCGUGUAAAUAGUCAUUAAUAUGGCGUCUCGUUAUAAGAAUCGCCUUAUAUUUUAAAUAACUAGGUAUAUAAGUUUUGGAUGAAGAAAUUUUAACUUUGAAAAACUAUUGGCCGAGAAUUGAAGUUCAGCAAAAAAUGUUAUUGUAUGGAAAUAAUCUCCUAUAAUAAUGAUAUGAUCGUCAUUUUUGCCACAAAUCUUAACCUUGAUGCUAGUGUCAGGCUAGGCCAGCGAUGUAGAAUAAUGGAGUCUUUUUUUAAGUAUUACUGGUACUUGAGGUGCUCCUUGCAUCUCCUAUUUUAAUAUCCAUCUUAUUUAUCGGGCGUUUAAUUGUAGGUAGCAAUAACCAUCUUAUUUAUAGGGCGUUUAAGUGUAGGUAGCAAUAAAAGCUGAGAUCGUGGAUGCGUCAGGAAUUCACCCUGUGCUUCUGUAUUAUACUCAGGAAUAUUGCCUAAAUGAGAGCUCGUGUAAAUAAUGCAAAUUUCGUUGUGCUAGU
Molecule: long non-coding RNA, 1014 nt
Organism: Hyalella azteca
Lineage: Eukaryota; Metazoa; Arthropoda; Malacostraca; Amphipoda; Hyalellidae
Exons: 2
Source: RefSeq, a predicted model, not a curated record